GAAAGUUAAGUCCUGGCUCAAGUUGAACGCUGGCGGGAUGCUUUACACAUGCAAGUCGAACGGCAGCACAGACAGGUCACCUGGUGGCGAGUGGCGAACGGGUGAGUAAUGUAUCGGAACGUGCCUAGUAGCGGGGGAUAACGGCUAUACGCGCCCUUCGGGGAAAGCGGGGGACCUUCGGGCCUCGCACUAUUAGAGCGGCCGAUAUCGGAUUAGCUAGUUGGUGGGGGUAACGGCUCACCAGGCGACGAUCCACGUAGCUGGUUUGAGAGGACGACCAGCCACACUGGACUGGGGCCGCGGCCCAGACUCCUACGGGAGGCAGCAGUCAGGGAAUUUUGGACAAUAGGAAACCUGAUCAGCCAUCCCCGUGUGCGGCGAUGAAGGCCUUCGGGUUGUAAAGCACUUUUUGGCAGGAAAACGGCGCAGAUAUGCCCGGCCACAGCGGUAUUUCUUCUCUACCAAAUAAAGCACCAGCUAUUUACAUUGCCAGCAGACUACGUGUCCGUGGUGAAGCGUUGAAAUCGGAAUUACUGGGCGUAAAGCGUGCGCAGGCGGUUCGGAAAGAAAAGAUGUGAAAUCCCAGAGCUUAACUUUGGAACUGCAUUUUUAACUCUGAACUCAAAGUGUGUCAGAGGGAGGUGGAAUUCCGCGUGUAGCAGUGAAAUGCGUAGAUAUGCGGAGGAACACCGAUGGCGAAGGCGGCCUCCUGGGAUAACACUGACGCUCAUGCACGAAAGCGUGGGAGCAAACCAGAUUGAUACCCUGGUAGUCCGCGCCCACAAACGAUGUCAAUAGCUGUUGGGGCCUUCGGGCCUUGGUAGCGCAGCUAACGCGUGAAGUUGACCGCCUGGGGUGCGGAUGCUGAAUUAGAAACUCGAGGAAUUGACAGGGACCCGCACAAGCGGUGGAUGAUGUGGAUUGAUUCGAUGCAACGCGAAAACCUUACCUACCCUUAAACAUGUCUGGUCGAGAAGAGAUUUGGUGUAACUGAAGAACCGGAACACAGGUGCUGCAUGGCUGUCGUCAGCUCGUGUCGUGAGAUGUUGGGUUAGAGUCCGCAACGAGCGCAACCCUUGUCAUUAGUUGCUACGAAAGGGCACUCUAAUGAGACUGCGGUGACAAACCGGAGGAAGGUGGGGAUGACGUCAAGUCCUCGCAUGGCCCUUAUGGGUAGGGCUUCACACGUCAUACAAUGGUCGGGACAGAGGGUCGCCAGCCCGCGAGGGGGAGCCAAUCCCAGAAACCCGAUCGUAGUCCGGAUCGCAGUCUGCAACUCGACUGCGUGAAGUCGGAAUCGCUGGUAAUCGCGGAUCAGCAUGUCGCGGUGAAUACGUUCCCGGGUCUUGUACACACCGCCCGUCACCAUGGGAGUGGGUUUUACCAGAAGUAGUUAGCCUAACCGUAAGGAGGGCGAUUACCACGGUAGGAUUCAUGACUGGGGUGAAGUCGUAAUAAGGUAA
Molecule: ribosomal RNA, 1463 nt
Filed under: uncultured Bordetella sp.
Lineage: Bacteria; Pseudomonadati; Pseudomonadota; Betaproteobacteria; Burkholderiales; Alcaligenaceae
Description: partial 16S-23S ribosomal RNA intergenic spacer
Rfam family: Bacterial small subunit ribosomal RNA
Source: RNAcentral